AGGUUGCACCGAGAUUUGAACUCGGAUCGCUGAAUUCAAAGCCCAGAGAGCAAAGCAUUACACCAUGGAACC
Molecule: transfer RNA, 72 nt
Filed under: Araneus ventricosus
Lineage: Eukaryota; Metazoa; Arthropoda; Arachnida; Araneae; Araneidae
Description: tRNA-Gln
Source: RNAcentral